ACAGCAGUAGCCGCGGUAAUACGAAGGGUGCAAGCGUUAAUCGGAAUUACUGGGCGUAAAGCGUGCGUAGGCGGUGAGUUAAGUCUGCUGUGAAAUCCCCGGGCUCAACCUGGGAAUGGCAGUGGAUACUGGCUCGCUAGAGUGUGUCAGAGGAUGGUGGAAUUCCCGGUGUAGCGGUGAAAUGCGUAGAGAUCGGGAGGAACAUCAGUGGCGAAGGCGGCCAUCUGGGACAACACUGACGCUGAGGCACGAAAGCGUGGGGAGCAAACAGGAUUAGAUACCCGCGUAGUCCCUGUCUCUUAUAC
This 305-nucleotide ribosomal RNA is filed under the name uncultured bacterium. Its description in RNAcentral is "partial 16S ribosomal RNA". It matches the Rfam family "Bacterial small subunit ribosomal RNA", at positions 508 to 807 of the family's 1533-position model. The record is from RNAcentral.